UAACCUAUUUUUAUUCAACACAGGCCCUUGC
This 31-nucleotide non-coding RNA is filed under the name Mus musculus (house mouse). Lineage: Eukaryota; Metazoa; Chordata; Mammalia; Rodentia; Muridae. The record is from RNAcentral.